This 253-nucleotide ribosomal RNA is filed under the name uncultured bacterium. Its description in RNAcentral is "partial 16S ribosomal RNA". It matches the Rfam family "Bacterial small subunit ribosomal RNA", at positions 524 to 776 of the family's 1533-position model. The record is from RNAcentral.
UACGUAGGUGGCAAGCGUUAUCCGGAAUUAUUGGGCGUAAAGCGCGCGUAGGCGGUUUUUUAAGUCUGAUGUGAAAGCCCGCAGCUCAACAGUGGAAGUUCUUUGGAAACUGGAUGACUUGAGUGCAGUAGAGGAAAGUGGAAUUCCAUGUGUAGCGGUGAAAUGCGUAGAGAUAUGGAAGAACACCAGUGGCGAAGGCGGCUUUCUGGACUGUAACUGACGCUGAGGUUCGAAAGUGUGGGGAUCAAACAGG